This 72-nucleotide transfer RNA is filed under the name archaeon. RNAcentral describes it as "tRNA-Phe". It matches the Rfam family "tRNA". Rfam says of the family: Transfer RNA (tRNA) molecules are approximately 80 nucleotides in length. Their secondary structure includes four short double-helical elements and three loops (D, anti-codon, and T loops). Further hydrogen bonds mediate the characteristic L-shaped molecular structure. tRNAs have two regions of fundamental functional importance: the anti-codon, which is responsible for specific mRNA codon recognition, and the 3' end, to which the tRNAs corresponding amino acid is attached (by aminoacyl-tRNA synthetases). tRNAs cope with the degeneracy of the genetic code in two manners: having more than one tRNA (with a specific anti-codon) for a particular amino acid; and 'wobble' base-pairing, i.e. permitting non-standard base-pairing at the 3rd anti-codon position. The record is from RNAcentral.
GCCAUGGUAGCUCAGCGGGAGAGCAUACGACUGAAGAUUGUGGGGUCCCGGGUUCGAAUCCCGGCCAUGGCA